ACGGAAGGCAGCAGUGGGGGAUAUUGCACAAUGGGGGAAACCCUGAUGCGGCGACGCCGCGUGAGUGAUGAAGUAUUUCGGUAUGUAAAGCUCUAUCAGCAGGAAAGAUAAUGACGGUACCUGACCAAGAAGCACCGGCUAAAUACGUGCCAGCAGCCGCGGUAAUACGUAUGGUGCAAGCGUUAUCCGGAUUUACUGGGUGUAAAGGGAGCGCAGACGGCAUGGCAAGCCAGAUGUGAAAGGCAGGGGCUCAACUCCUGGACUGCAUUUGGAACUGUCAAGCUAGAGUAUCGGAGAGGUAAGUGGAAUUCCUAGUGUAGCGGUGAAAUGCGUAGAUAUUAGGAGGAACACCAGCGGCGAAGGCGGCUUACUGGACGAUAACUGACGUUGAGGCUCGAAAGCGCGGGGAGCAAACAGGAUUAGAUACCCUGGUA
RNAcentral lists this ribosomal RNA (434 nucleotides) under uncultured Lachnospiraceae bacterium. RNAcentral describes it as "partial 16S ribosomal RNA". It matches the Rfam family "Bacterial small subunit ribosomal RNA", at positions 341 to 792 of the family's 1533-position model. Lineage: Bacteria; Bacillati; Bacillota; Clostridia; Lachnospirales; Lachnospiraceae. The record is from RNAcentral.